RNAcentral lists this ribosomal RNA (266 nucleotides) under uncultured Micromonas. RNAcentral's name for it is "partial 16S ribosomal RNA". It matches the Rfam family "Bacterial small subunit ribosomal RNA", at positions 655 to 917 of the family's 1533-position model. Lineage: Eukaryota; Viridiplantae; Chlorophyta; Mamiellophyceae; Mamiellales. The record is from RNAcentral.
AGGUACAGGGAAUUCCCGGUGGAGCGGAGAAAUGCUUACAUUUCGGGAAGAACCCCAAUAUGGCGAAGGCACUGUACUGGGCUUUUCCUGACGCUGACAGACGAAAGCUAAAGGAGUGAUUAGGAUUAGAUACCCUAGUAAUUUUAGCCGCAAACGAUGGAAACUCACUGCCGAGCGAAAUACAACGAGCGGUGGUCAAGCUAACGCGUGAAGUUUCCCGCCUGGGGAUUACCCUUGCAAAAGUGAAACUCAAAGGAAUUGACGGA